AGCAGCCGCGGUAAUUCCAGCUCCAAUAGCGUAUAUUAAAGUUGUUGCAGUUAAAAAGCUCGUAGUUGAAUUUCGGGAUCAAAGGAUCGGUCAUGCCUUGGUAUGUACUGGUUUUAUUGGUUCUCACCUUCUAAAGAACCAUAAUGUCAUUCAUUUGAUGUUAUGGGGAAUUAGGACUGUUACCUUGAAAAAUUAGAGUGUUUAAAGCAGGCUUACGCUUGAAUACAUUAGCAUGGAAUAAUGAAAUAGGACAUCAGAUUCUAUUUUGUUGGUUUCUAGGAUCGAUGUAAUGAUUAAUAGGGAUAGUUGGGGGCAUUAGUAUUCAAUUGUCAGAGGUGAAAUUCUUGGGUUUAUUGAAGACUAACUACUGCGAAAGCAUUUGCCAAGGAUGUUUUCAUUAAUCAAGAACGAAAGUUAGGGAUCGAAGACGAUCAGAUACCGUCGUAGUCUUAACCAUAAACUAUGCCGACUAGGGAUCGGAUGAUGUUAAUUUUAUAAUGACUCAUUCGGCUAACCG
RNAcentral lists this unclassified non-coding RNA (517 nucleotides) under uncultured Glomus. RNAcentral describes it as "SSU rRNA". It matches the Rfam family "Eukaryotic small subunit ribosomal RNA", at positions 569 to 1088 of the family's 1831-position model. The record is from RNAcentral. Lineage: Eukaryota; Fungi; Glomeromycota; Glomeromycetes; Glomerales; Glomeraceae.